This 332-nucleotide long non-coding RNA is filed under the name Notechis scutatus (mainland tiger snake). Its description in RNAcentral is "lncRNA (ENSNSUG00000012861.1)". The record is from RNAcentral. Lineage: Eukaryota; Metazoa; Chordata; Lepidosauria; Squamata; Elapidae.
GUUGGGCUGGUAACUGUUUCACGCAGCUUUUCCACACUACACAAUACACUUUGGCUACUGUUUGUAUAGUCAGGAAACUGUUAAAAAAACCAAAAACAACCGAAGAAGAAAUAUGUAGGAGAACCUGGGGAAGACAUGGAUUCCUCUACAGCAAUGGUAGAGGAAGUUAUAACUUGAAGUGACAACUAGCCAGGAUGUUCUGACUGAAAGUGUCUGGAGAAGGUUAUGUGGCAGCUGUUACAAAAAAUAUCAACUUAAUCAGGAAAGACAAGAGUGGGCAAGGAAGAAACUCAUGACUACUCCAGCUUGAAUCUCUGUGGUAUAAUUCUGCU